AUUGAACGCUGGCGGCAUGCCUUACACAUGCAAGUCGAACGGCAGCACGGGAGCUUGCUCCUGGUGGCGAGUGGCGAACGGGUGAGUAAUACAUCGGAACGUACCCUGAAGUGGGGGAUAACGUAGCGAAAGUUACGCUAAUACCGCAUAUUCUGUGAGCAGGAAAGAGGGGGAUCGCAAGACCUCUUGCUUUAGGAGCGGCCGAUGUCGGAUUAGCUAGUUGGUGAGGUAAAGGCUUACCAAGGCGACGAUCCGUAGCUGGUCUAGAGAGGAUGAUC
RNAcentral lists this ribosomal RNA (278 nucleotides) under uncultured bacterium. RNAcentral's name for it is "partial 16S ribosomal RNA". It matches the Rfam family "Bacterial small subunit ribosomal RNA", at positions 30 to 305 of the family's 1533-position model. The record is from RNAcentral.